Regulatory RNA element from Deinococcus maricopensis DSM 21211, 85 nucleotides. It matches the Rfam family "c-di-GMP-II-GAG riboswitch aptamer". The record is from Rfam. Lineage: Bacteria; Thermotogati; Deinococcota; Deinococci; Deinococcales; Deinococcaceae.
CUGACUGGUAGAGGCUGCGACGCGCGCUCCCGUACUCGGGCACCUGGGACGCGCAGAGCCAGUGGUGCGACCGACUAUUGGUUCC